This is a long non-coding RNA of Triticum dicoccoides, 755 nucleotides long. RefSeq lists it as uncharacterized. The record is from RefSeq and is a predicted model, not a curated record. NCBI's taxonomy places the organism in Eukaryota, Viridiplantae, Streptophyta, Magnoliopsida, Poales, Poaceae. The transcript has 3 exons.
GCACCUCAUCAGCUCAUCUGAUCUCGUCGCCGUCUCCUGCUCCUCGCCUCCUCGCGACCCCACCUCCUCAACUCCUCCUUCACCUCAAGGCCGGGCAAGGCGUCUGCAAGUGCAAGACAACAGGAACAUGAUGGUGGGGGUGGCAAUGGCAAGUGCUCCUCUUCCCCAUCCCAGGUGACCGGCAGCUUCUGCAUCGACCCAAGACUCCAAGAGGCCGAGGCCAUCAGGGUUCAUGUGCCUUUGUAGCUGACCGCGACGACGACCGGCAAGAGGCAACGCGCACCUCUUUCUCCACCUCAAGCAAAUCUGCAUCGACCCAAACCCGAGACCAUCAAGGUGAGCAGCACAAUAAUAUGGCAGGUUCAGGUGAAUAUUUUGAGCAAGAUGAGCCACUUCGUGUGAAGAGAAAGACCAUAUCUGUGGUUUGGAAUGAGUUCAAUAGGGUUCUUGUUGAGGAAAAAUGGAAGGAUGAAUGUGUAUGGUGUCACGGGCUAUUUUGUGGAGAUCCAAAGUAUGGAAGCUCACAUCUGCAUGCUCAUUUAGCAAGAUGUGCUUCUAGGCAGGCCAAUGGUUGAGGAACUGUCGACUUACUAUAUGCCUGCACGGAGCAGUGAAGAAUGAAGAUUGAAGUCUUAGAUAUUUGAUGUUGUUAGUUCUUGUAGUUGUUAUUUUCCCAUGUAAUUGAAUCUUGUUGUUCAAUGUGUAUGAAUCAGUCAUGAGUGGGUUAUCUAAAUAUAUGUCAGAAUUAUCUAAAU